RNAcentral lists this ribosomal RNA (465 nucleotides) under uncultured bacterium. Its description in RNAcentral is "bacterial SSU rRNA". It matches the Rfam family "Bacterial small subunit ribosomal RNA", at positions 329 to 792 of the family's 1533-position model. The record is from RNAcentral.
GCCCAGACUCCUACGGGAGGCAGCAGUGAGGAAUAUUGGUCAAUGGUCGGGAGACUGAACCAGCCAAGCCGCGUGAGGGAUGAAGGUACAGAGUAUCGUAAACCUCUUUUGUCAGGGAACAAAGGCGGGGACGUGUCCCCGGAUGAGUGUACCUGAAGAAAAAGCAUCGGCUAACUCCGUGCCAGCAGCCGCGGUAAUACGGAGGAUGCGAGCGUUAUCCGGAUUUAUUGGGUUUAAAGGGUGCGCAGGCGGUCUGUUAAGUCAGCGGUCAAAGCCCGGGGCUCAACCCCAUCCGGCCGUUGAAACUGGGGAUCUAGAGUGUGCGAGAAGUAUGCGGAAUGCGUGGUGUAGCGGUGAAAUGCAUAGAUAUCACGCAGAACUCCGAUUGCGAAGGCAGCAUACCGGCGCCCAACUGACGCUGAAGCACGAAAGCGUGGGUAUCGAACAGGAUUAGAUACCCGGGUA